This 206-nucleotide ribosomal RNA is filed under the name uncultured bacterium. Its description in RNAcentral is "partial 16S ribosomal RNA". It matches the Rfam family "Bacterial small subunit ribosomal RNA", at positions 568 to 774 of the family's 1533-position model. The record is from RNAcentral.
CUCGUAGGCGGUUUGUCGCGUCUGCUGUGAAAUCCGGAGGCUCAACCUCCGGCCUGCAGUGGGUACGGGCAGACUAGAGUGCGGUAGGGGAGAUUGGAAUUCCUGGUGUAGCGGUGGAAUGCGCAGAUAUCAGGAGGAACACCAAUGGCGAAGGCAGAUCUCUGGGCCGUAACUGACGCUGAGGAGCGAAAGCAUGGGAGCGAACA